CAAGAAUGAAGGGGGUGGGUAGGCAAAUGUUGCCUAAUAUUAGGACAAAAGAAAGAAUAUCACUCCCGGGGUGGGGGCUGGGGCUCAGUGGUAGAGGGCUUGCCUAGCAUGGGUGAAGCAUUGGCUUUAAUUCGCAGCACUGCAUAUAAAUAAAUGAAUAAAAUAAAGGCCCAUCAACAUCUAAAAAUUUAAAAAAAAAUUUUUUAGUUGUCAAUGGACCUUUAUUUGAUGCUGAGAAUCAAACCCAGGGCCUCACACAUGCUAGGCAAUCGCUCUACCACUGAGCCACAACCUCAGUUCCUAAAAAUUUUUUUUAAAAAGAAAGAUUCUACACAUAAAAACAAUAUGAACUACUUUAGGUCAAUAGAUUUAACAAAUUCCUUGAAAGAAACAACUUAUCAAAACUAACAAAGAAACAGAAAAUCUAAAUAAUCUCUACACCAAUUGAAGAAAUUGAACUUGGAAUUAAGAAAAAAUUCUAACAAAGAUUACUCCAGUUCAAGUGGCUUUAAGGAAAAAAUAACACCAACUUCUACAAACUCCUUCACAGUGUGAGGGAAGAAAGAUCACUUCCCAAUAUACUUUAUGAGGUCAACAUAAGCCUAACACCAAAUCAGGUAAAGAUGUUGUUUUUAAAAACCACAAAGCAAUAUCCUUUAUAACCAUAGUUGCAGAAAUCCCUAACAAAAUAUUAGCAAAUCAAAUUAGUUACAUAUAAAAAGGACAGAAAUAUCAUGAGCAAAUGGAGUUUACCCUAGAAAUUUAAGAUUCGUUUAAUAGUCAAAAAUCAAUUAUUGUAAUUUACUAUCAAGAAAAUCAAAAUAAUCUCAAAUGAAUCCAGAAAAAAAACAUUAAAUCGGGCAGAUUGCAAAUUCAAGGCCAGCCUGGGUGACUUAGCAAGAACUAAUCAAUUUAGAGAAACCCUGUCUCAAAAAAAAAAAAAAAUGUCUAGGAUGUAGCUCAGUAGUAAAUUGUCUCUGGGUUAAAGUCCCAGUUCCUCCAAAUAAAUAAAUAAAUAAAAAUUAAAAAUAAAUAAAAGGGGCUAGGGGUGUAGCUUAGUGACUACUAAGUACCGAAUCCCAGUAUAAAAAUAAAUAAAUAAAUAACACCCACUCAUUAUUUAGAAAGCAAAACAAAACAUACACACACACACACAAACACACACACUCAGCCCUAACAAGCUAGGAAUAGAAAAUAACUUCUAAUAAAAGACAUUCAUGAAACAUUUAUAGCUAACAUCAUAUUUAAUUAAUAGAGAAACACUGAACAGGUUUUCACUAAGAUUCCCUAAGGCAAAUAUUUUUCUUAUCCCUUCUAUUCAGCAUUAUUUUGGAAAGUGCGGCCAGUUCCAUAGUUGAGAAAAAGAAAUAAAAGAUAUAAAUGCAGGGUGGGGGUGGGGGGGAGCAGUGUGAAAUUGUCAUUUUUCCACAUCACAUGAUUGGGUAGAUAGUAAAUAUGUGGAUUCUACUCCCUCCAUCUGUACCCUCCCCCCCCCAAAAAAAAAAACCCUACUAAAAUUAAAAGUGAAUUCAUCAGGGUUACAGAUACAAAAUUAACAUACAAACCCCCAACUUUUUGUAUUCAUACCACAAUCAACUGGAAGGUGAAAUUAAAAUACUGUUUAUAAUAGUAAAUACAGAGUCAGUGGGUUUUUAACUGUCUUCUAACAAGGGGCCAAGUUAAAUCAGUGGGGGAAAGAAAACACUUCAUAAACCAUGCUGGAGACAUCGAGUAUUCACUUGAAAAAAAAAGUAAAUCUUGGAGCUGGAGGUGCGGAUCGGUGGUAAGAUGCUUGCCUAACAUGCAC
This 1807-nucleotide long non-coding RNA is filed under the name Marmota monax (woodchuck). Lineage: Eukaryota; Metazoa; Chordata; Mammalia; Rodentia; Sciuridae. The record is from RNAcentral.